Molecule: transfer RNA, 67 nt
Filed under: Hoplopleura sp.
Lineage: Eukaryota; Metazoa; Arthropoda; Insecta; Psocodea; Hoplopleuridae
Description: tRNA-Arg
Source: RNAcentral
GGGGAGUAAUCAUAUGUGUCUUGAGGUUAGUUUCGACCUAAUAAAUAGCUUGGUAUAGCACUCCCCU